Molecule: long non-coding RNA, 267 nt
Filed under: Gossypium barbadense (sea-island cotton)
Lineage: Eukaryota; Viridiplantae; Streptophyta; Magnoliopsida; Malvales; Malvaceae
Description: long non-coding RNA (GBAR_LNC020254)
Source: RNAcentral
UACAAAUUUUGCAUCCCAGUGGAUUGAACUUUAACAUUCACAGUGGGGGGAAAUUAGAUUAAGUGUUUCUUUGAAUACGCUAGUCGAGUAAGAAGGCGUUGUAGCACAUCAGUGAUAAAACCUUAAUAAACUUUGAGUAAUGAUAACCUAAGCAUUAAAAAGGGAUCAUUCUCAUGACAUUCUACAAAUAUCAUACAUAAACAUCUAGUUAGGAUUAUUUGAUUCAUUCUAAUCAUGACAUCCUAAACACUAGGCAUAAAUAGGUCC